RNAcentral lists this transfer RNA (74 nucleotides) under Clostridium sp. RNAcentral describes it as "tRNA-Gln". It matches the Rfam family "tRNA". Rfam says of the family: Transfer RNA (tRNA) molecules are approximately 80 nucleotides in length. Lineage: Bacteria; Bacillati; Bacillota; Clostridia; Eubacteriales; Clostridiaceae. RNAcentral also lists the same sequence under 1 other name. The record is from RNAcentral.
UGGGGAUUAGCUCAAAGGUAGAGCAUCGGACUUUGACUCCGAAUGUAAUGGUUCGAGUCCAUUAUCCUCAGCCA